UACAGAGGAUGCAAGCGUUAUCCGGAAUGAUUGGGCGUAAAGCGUCUGUAGGUGGCUUUUUAAGUCCGCCGUCAAAUCCCAGGGCUCAACUCUGGACAGGCGGUGGAAACUACCAAGCUGGAGUACGGUAGGGGCAGAGGGAAUUUCCGGUGGAGCGGUGAAAUGCGUAGAUAUCUGGAGGAACACCGGUGGCGAAGGCGGCAUCCUGGACCGACACUGACGCUGAGGCGCGAAAGCUAGGGGAGCAAACGGG
RNAcentral lists this ribosomal RNA (253 nucleotides) under uncultured bacterium. RNAcentral's name for it is "partial 16S ribosomal RNA". It matches the Rfam family "Bacterial small subunit ribosomal RNA", at positions 524 to 776 of the family's 1533-position model. The record is from RNAcentral.